GCUUUGGUGGUUCAGUGGUAGAAUUCUCACCUCCCAUGUGAAAAACUGUGGUUCAAUCCCCAGCCAGUGUA
RNAcentral lists this transfer RNA (71 nucleotides) under Loxodonta africana (African savanna elephant). It matches the Rfam family "tRNA". From Rfam's summary of the family: Transfer RNA (tRNA) molecules are approximately 80 nucleotides in length. Their secondary structure includes four short double-helical elements and three loops (D, anti-codon, and T loops). Lineage: Eukaryota; Metazoa; Chordata; Mammalia; Proboscidea; Elephantidae. The record is from Rfam by way of RNAcentral.